UCGGGAAUUUUGGGCAAUGGGCGAAAGCCUGACCCAGCAACGCCGCGUGAAGGAUGAAGUAUUUCGGUAUGUAAACUUCGUAAGAAUAGGAAGAAUAAAUGACGGUACUAUUUAUAAGGUCCGGCUAACUACGUGCCAGCAGCCGCGGUAAUACGUAGGGACCAAGCGUUGUUCGGAUUUACUGGGCGUAAAGGGCGCGUAGGCGGCAAUUCAAGUCAUCUGUGAAAUCUCCGGGCUUAACUCGGAACGGUCAGAUGAUACUGCUUUGCUAGAGUGCAGAAGGGGCAAUCGGAAUUCUUGGUGUAGCGGUGAAAUGCGUAGAUAUCAAGAGGAACACCUGAGGUGAAGACGGGUUGCUGGGCUGACACUGACGCUGAGGCGCGAAAGCCAGGGGAGCAAACGGGAUUAGAUACCCCAGUAGUCCCUGAGCGGGCUGGCAAGGCGCAU
RNAcentral lists this ribosomal RNA (447 nucleotides) under uncultured bacterium. RNAcentral's name for it is "bacterial SSU rRNA". It matches the Rfam family "Bacterial small subunit ribosomal RNA", at positions 355 to 825 of the family's 1533-position model. The record is from RNAcentral.